CCUACGGGUGGCAGCAGUGAGGAAUAUUGGUCAAUGGUCGGGAGACUGACCCAGCCAAGCCGCGUGAGGGAUGAAGGUACAGAGUAUCGUAAACCUCUUUUGUCAGGGAACAAAGGCGGGGACGUGUCCCCGGAUGAGUGUACCUGACGAAAAAGCAUCGGCUAACUCCGUGCCCGCAGCCGCGGUAAUACGGAGGAAGCGAGCGUUAUCCGGAUUUAUUGGGUUUAAGGGUGUGGGAGGCGGUCUGUUAAGUCAGGGGUCAAAGCCCGGGGCUCACCCCGGGACCGCCGUGGAAACUGGCAGUCUCGAGUUGGAGAGAAGUAGGCGGAAUGCGCGGUGUAGCGGUGAAAGGCAUAGAUAUCGAGCAGAACUCCGAUUGCGAAGGCAGCAUGCCGGCUCCACACUGACGCGGAGGCACGAAAGCGUGGGUAUCGAACAGGAUUAGAUACCCCAGUAGUC
Molecule: ribosomal RNA, 459 nt
Filed under: uncultured bacterium
Lineage: Bacteria
Description: partial 16S ribosomal RNA
Rfam family: Bacterial small subunit ribosomal RNA
Source: RNAcentral